UGAGCACAUGCUAUCAGAUAUUGCAGGUGUUAUGAUGUUUAGUAUGUAAGAAAGACUAUCAAAUAAAGAAAACAAUAAAUUCUUGUAUCGUUUAUUCUAGCAAUGUCUGAUAUAUAUAUAUAUAUUUUACUGGAUUCAUGACAUAAGACAAAUAUAGCACUCCCCAAUAGUUGAUGAAAUAAGCCUACCACAAUAAAACCAACAUUUCAUGAUAUAUAUACAAUGAUAAAAUAUAUAUUUCUACAGUUGUGUAAAAUAUUUUCUUCAACAUACAUUAUACAUUUUAUGUACAUAGCACUGGACUAUCAAAGCAAUGAACAUGGCUUCAAUAAUAUCACUAACAAUAUCUAUAAUGUUUCAUCUGGGAUAUGCCAUUAUUUGUGUUGUGGUGUUUCAACUAAGAAAAUAUGUCAGCUUUAUUUCCUUAAUCCAAUAGAGAUGAAUAAUGUCAGCUGGUUAGAUUAUAAAAUACCCAAAAUAGUGGAAAUCAAUAUAUGAUGAAAUUAUUCUUGAUUGGAUAAAUGAAAAUUAAUCUAUAAAAUUUCCAGCUUAAUGUCAAAAUUUUAAUUCAAAAUUAAUAAAUGCCAAUAAAAGAACAGCGAAUAUAUUUCUUUUCCUGAUUUUGAGGGAAAUUUUUGAGGAUAACAGCUGCCUACAGGAAGUAUGUAGUAGUUAAAACAUUAAAAAGGUUUUGCCUUUAUACAUGAAAUUCCUCAUAUAUCAGUAAAACCUAUCCAUAAUAGUACUAAAACAAUCUGAUGUUUAGAAUAAAUCAAUAAUGAGGAUAUAAUGUGGUUCAUUUUAGACAAUACAUGGCAUCAUCUAGCAACUUUCAACCAGUUCACAGAUACAAAAGGGGAUUUCUUUGAGGUGAGGCUGAUAAUAAAUGUUGGGUUGAGUUUUUCUUCGCUAUAUUUUUGUGAAAUAUAUUCAAAAUAGUACUCACAUAGUUUUUUAAUGUUUGAAACUGGUUAUCUAAAUUACUAAUUUACAAUACAAUAAAAAGUCAAUCGCUGAUGAUUUUCGUAUGUGCCUGUUAAAUUAUAUACAUGGUAAUGUCAAAACAAAACUGAAAUCCAUAUAUAUGUAGCAAAUUCUGGUAACCUAGCAACCAAUCUACAACCAUAAAUAUACAAUUUACACUUCUUUAUGAAUCACAACUGAAAAAUCAAAUAUAUACAGAAACCGUACAAAUAAAGGUACCCACUGGCAAGUUGAAACCAUGCAAAUAAAGAUCCCCACUGGUCAGAUGCAACCAUACAAAUUAAGAUACCCCAUGUUCAGUAAGAACCAUGCAAAUAUAGAUACCCACUGGUCAGUUGCAACCAUACUAAUUAAGAUACCCACUGGCAAGUUGAAACCAUACAAAUAAAAAUACCCACUGGUCAGUGGAAACCAUACAAAUAAAGAUACCCAUUGGUUAUUUACACAUAAACCAUAAAAAUAAAGACACUCACUGGUCAGUUGAGACAGAACUAGAAUAGUUCAAUUUACAAAUAAAAGUCUUUUUUGAGUUAUUUUGUAAGUAUGUAAGUAAUUUUUGAUAAUCUUAUUUUUUCACUAAAAACAUAUGUACAGCUGAGUAAAAUGUUCAUUUUAAAGACCUGUACAUUUUUACACUGAUAUACUAUUUCUAAUAGAUAGUGUCAUUUUUAUUUCUCCAAGAAAACCUUGUGUUGACAAAUUACUUUAAAUAUGUUAAUAAGUAAUCUGUACAGUAAAAACCAAGUAGAUACUGAAUCUGUAGUGAAACCAAAGUGGAAAAUGUAUCUGUACAGUGAAAUCACAGUGGAUUGAUAUCUUUACAGUGCAUUCAUAUGGGAUACUGUAUUUGUAAUGAAAUCAGUGAAUACUGUAUCUGUACAGUGAAAUCACAGUGGAUACCGUAUCUGUACAGUGAAAUCACAGUGUAUACCGCAUUUGUACAGUGAAAUCAGUGGAUACCAUUUGUGUACAGUGAAAACACAGUGGAUACCGUAUGUGCACAGUUAAAUCACAGUGGAUACUGUAUCUGUACAGUGAAAUCACAGUGGAUACUGUAUCUGUACAGUGAAAUCACAGUGGAUACUGUAUGUGUACAGUGAAAUUGAGCAUUAAAUUCAUAUGAAUCAAUAGCUGCACUAAUAUCCAUUAAAUAAGAACAUACACAAUGAAAUGUCUCAGUAAGAUUUUCAUCAACUUUUAAAUAAAGAUUUAUCUAAGCAUGCAACCACUGGAUUUAUCUGUAUACAAUCUAUCCAUUAAAAACCCUAAUAUAUACAUUAUUUAAUUAAUUAUCCUUUCAAAAUUUAAAACUGUUCACAAUUUUUUAAAAGCACUUAUAAAACAUGAGACAAUCACAGAAUUGACACAUCAAUUGUAGUUGUAUACAAAAACCAAACUAAAUUCUUUAACAUGAAAACCAUUAAAAAGAAAAACAGAAAAAAAAACAUAGUGACAAAUGCCUUGAUAGAUUGCAGUCUUUUACUAGAAAUUGAACUUAUGAGACAUUUGGUGUCUAAUAACACUCAAUUAUAUUAUUUUAACCAGGAAAAAUGCAACGUUGUGUAAUGGGGAUCAAACAAAGAUAAGCCUGUAUUUUUAUAUUUAAACAAAUGUGUAGGUCUUCCUUCUAUGUAAACCAGCAAGCUUAGAAUAUACCCUGUAUUUCAAAAUAUAUUCAUUAAAAGUUUUUCAUCACAAUUAACAAUCUGUUUUCCUCAUCACGUUUUCAUCAACACUGUUAUUUACCUAAAUCUCUUCAAUGCCAUCAACAAUAUAACAAAUAAACAAAUCCUUGCAUACUAGUACAUAUUACCCAAGCACUUUAUAACCAUAUCACAGUAUUAUACAUAAAAUAAGAAAUGUUAGUUAUCUACACUGGACUAAGUUACCUGGGGGAGACAAUACACAUCUAUGUGUUGAUUCUGAUGAUCACUCCCUUCAUUUUAAAUAUAAAUAUAAUAUUAAAACUAAUAAAUUAACAAUAGUAUUGAAUUUAAAACAAUUGACUUUGAUAGUACUUAGUGCAUUCUUUCUAGAAAUGGAACUUUUGAUAUAAAUAUGAAGUGUAUCCUUGAAGCAAAAAUUAACCUUAACUAAAUUGUGGCACAAAAUCUGGUUUUGAUAUUCUAAACAUGUAACACGGAAAAUGUCUGAACAGGUUAACAAAGUUGUGUAAUUAUGUUCAAAGUUAAAAUAGCCAUUUACUCAUUGUAACAGAUAGUAUUUACAUCAUAUAAUAAUAAUUGGGACUACAUUUGGCCAAUGUUUAUGAUUUAAUGAAAUUACCAAGUUUUACUAGAUACUCUUUUUUAACAUAUGAUAUGUAUCAAAUUAGACACUAGGGAUAACUUGGAAUCGAAACUAAUAAUCAUCAUCACGAAAAAGAAGUAGGAUCUUUUAUGGAAGAUCUUUACAUAAUUUUACACUAACAGUAGGAUUAUAAACUGUUUGUCAAAAGUAUUAAUACUUUAAAAUGCCUAGUGUCUGGAAAUGGCCGGUAAAUGAAGGGUUAGAUUUCUGUAAUUAUUUUUAAUGGAUGGCCUCAUAUAUAUCUAUCACCUCUGAAACAGUGAUUUCUUUUUCUCAAUACUCAUCAUAAAUACUAUUAGUAAAAUAUUGUACACCAGACUAGCCUUUCCUUUUCAAGACUCAUCAGUGAGACUUGAAUCAAAAAGGUUAAAAAGGCCAAAUAAAGUAGAUAUUUACCUUGUGUAGAUAUUAACAAUGUAAUUCCUACAGUAUAAUUAUGUGGAUUUGGUGACAAGCAAAAUCAUUUUACCCCCGGAUAUAUCAUAUGCAGAAAAAGAUUAUCAAUGUAAACCAAGGGUACAUUAUAAUGAAACAAAUAUAUCAUUGUGAACAAGAAGUGCCAUCUUGAACAUUCAACACGACUUCUUACAUUUUGUCUGCCAUAACCGAGUACAAAUACAUACAAAUAUUACAUAUAAAACUAUAAACAUUACAAAACAUCUUGAGGACAUAUGUUUAUCUGAAUGUAGGUGUUGUCUGCCAUUAAAAAUUUUAGUUUCAUGGCAUGAUCACAAGAAAAACAUGACUACAUGUAUUUCUAAAUAUAUCUAGAAUCAUUGAUUGUUUAAAUUAAGAAACUGGGCUCAUUUCAGAGAGCUUACACUCAUUGUGGUUGAUUUUGAGGAUUUUUUCAUGUUUGUAUUUUUAUUUUUCUGUUUACUAAGUGUAAAAUGUACUGAAUUUCAGAUUUACAUCCUGUUUUGAUUGAUAAAGGGGAGAUUAAGUGCUACCCUUUUUUCCAGAAUAAUAAGUACAGUACGGGUAGGGACUUAUUUUUAUGGAUGUCUUAAUCCGUCUAGUCGGAUAUGAAUAAUCGGACAUUUUUAUGGUAGGUAGUAUGUUCAUUAAACAACAGAUCCAGGUGUGAAUGGUCCUUUCAUCUUAAUCCGUGUUGCUAAAAUUACGGUUCACUGAUUUCAGAAUCAGAUUACCUGUAAUUUUAACCUCUCAGUCACUUUAUUGAUUAUAUUAGUUCUACAUCGUAUUUGACAUAAAAUAUUUUUACAGGUGAAGUACUGGAGAAAA
Molecule: long non-coding RNA, 4539 nt
Filed under: Mytilus galloprovincialis (Mediterranean mussel)
Lineage: Eukaryota; Metazoa; Mollusca; Bivalvia; Mytilida; Mytilidae
Source: RNAcentral